Molecule: small RNA, 523 nt
Filed under: Pan troglodytes (chimpanzee)
Lineage: Eukaryota; Metazoa; Chordata; Mammalia; Primates; Hominidae
Description: processed transcript
Source: RNAcentral
UAGCUGGAGUAGACGGAUCCGCGGCUGCACCAAACCACUGCCCCUCGGAGCCUGGUAGUGGGCCACAAGCCCACAGUCCCAGAGGCGUGAUUUUCUGGCAUCCUUAAAUCUUGUGUCAAGGAUUGGUUAUAAUAUAACCAGAAACCAUGACGGCGGCUGAGAACGUAUGCUACACGUUAAUUAACGUGCCAAUGGAUUCAGAACCACCAUCUGAAAUUAGCUUAAAAAAUGAUCUAGAUUCAUGGAGCCUGCAUUAACUCAAUUGGUUAGGAACCAGAAAUCUAAUCCAGUGCCUUCAUAUUAUAUAUAAAGAGUCUGAUUUCCAGAGAUAAAUGACUUGAGCAAAGACAGCUUAUUUGGUGGAGAACCAGGUGGAGAACCCUUGUCACUUGGAAAAAGGAGAUGUAAAGUCAAAGACUGAAGCUUUGAAGAAAGUAAUCAUUAUGAUUCUGAAUGGUGAAAAGCUUCCUGGACUUCUGAUGACCAUCAUUCGUUUUGUGCUACCUCUUCAGGAUCACACUAU